This is a long non-coding RNA of Prosopis cineraria, 387 nucleotides long. RefSeq lists it as uncharacterized. Lineage: Eukaryota; Viridiplantae; Streptophyta; Magnoliopsida; Fabales; Fabaceae. The transcript has 2 exons. The record is from RefSeq and is a predicted model, not a curated record.
UUCCAAAUCAUGCCAGUGACUGAUGCGCGCCUUGCCAGUACCUGUGGCUGUUCAAUUGCUCUUAACUGUGGGCGCCAUUUUUUUGUGAUGCUAGUUAAAUGCCCUGUCUCUGUUAGUCUGUUGCGUUCUCCUCCUCUGUGUUUGGAUAUUGCUCUCCGUGGUUACUAAGUCAGCUAAAUAAGCCAACUCAUUUUUCAGGACCACUCCAUUCUACUCAUGCUCCUAGUAAAGCAAAUUGGUGGAGGCAUGUUUUCUUUAAGGCUUGUCCUUUAGAGACCAUACAUUCAUAGUUAUUGAGAUUUUGAAUUGUGAUCCGUUAGUCCUCUGUGAUGUUGGGGCUGGAGUUGUAGAUUAUAAAUAUCUAGCUAGAGAUUAUAGGUUGUAUAA